RNAcentral lists this unclassified non-coding RNA (681 nucleotides) under Hevea brasiliensis (rubber tree). Lineage: Eukaryota; Viridiplantae; Streptophyta; Magnoliopsida; Malpighiales; Euphorbiaceae. The record is from RNAcentral.
AAAAGUUUUUUUUUUUAAUUUUAUUUUAAAUUUUAAAUAAAAAAUCCAACAGAUAACACUUCCAGUGAAUACUUAAUACCUUGUUAACUUGCAAUAUGUUGUAAAGGUUCUAUUUUUCAUAUUAGAAGUUCUUUUAUCCUUCUUUGUAUCCAUGUUCUUUAUAUAGCCUUCAAGGAGUGGAAUUGCAUUUUAUCACUUAAAUCAAUAAUUCCAUGCAUUGAUUGUGCUUCUCAAAGGGUAUUAACUAUCAUCUUAAUAAUGUAGACUCUUGUUUCAAGUAUUGUUUUUUUCUUUAGACUCAUGCCAUGCUUGGUGUGGCAAUUGCCAAGUUACAGUUAUAUGUAGGGCUAGAAGUUUUAACAAUUGAGCUUUUGGUGACUCUGCUGUUGUCUUCAGAGUGUGAUCUUGCUGUGCUGAAGAUUCUAAGCAUCACUACUGGUAUCAUGCAUGAAAAAUAUAGAAGUGAGGGUUAUUAAGCAGCUGUUGGUUGCUUAAGCAGCUUGGGAGAUUUUUCAUCUCUUGGGAGAUUUUUCAUCUCUCAAAUCUCUGAAUUUAGGAUGCAAUUUAUAGAAAGCAUUAAGCAGCUUCACCAUUGAAAUGAAAUGUUAGGCAAAGUUAAGUGACACUGUCUUCUUGACUAAACUUACUAAGCUAACUAAAUGCUUGUGAUAUGUAUAAAUU